This 478-nucleotide ribosomal RNA is filed under the name uncultured Pelotomaculum sp. RNAcentral's name for it is "bacterial SSU rRNA". It matches the Rfam family "Bacterial small subunit ribosomal RNA", at positions 902 to 1382 of the family's 1533-position model. Lineage: Bacteria; Bacillati; Bacillota; Clostridia; Eubacteriales; Desulfotomaculaceae. The record is from RNAcentral.
CAAAGGAAUUGACGGGGCCGGCACAAGCGGUGGAGCAUGUGGCUAAUUCGACGCAACGCGAAGAACUUACCAGGGCUUGACAUCCCCUGACCGCGUAUGAAAGUACGUUUUCACCUCGGGUGACAGGGAGACAGGUGGUGCAUGGUUGUCGUCAGCUCGUGUCGUGAGAUGUUGGGUUAAGUCCCGCAACGAGCGCAACCCCUACGUUUAGUUGCUAACGCGUGAAGGCGAGCACUCUAGACGAACUGCCGUUGACAAAACGGAGGAAGGUGGGAUGACGUCAAAUCAUCAUGCCCCUUAUGUUCUGGGCUACACACGUGCUACAAUGGCCGGUACAGACGGACGCAAAGCCGCGAGGUGGAGCAAAUCCUAAAAAGCCGGUCUCAGUUCGGAUUGCAGGCUGCAAUUCGCCUGCAUGAAGUCGGAAUCGCUAGUAAUCGCAGGUCAGCAUACUGCGGUGAAUACGUUCCCGGGCCUU